AGAGUUUGAUCCUGGCUCAGGAUGAACGCUAGCGGCAGGCUUAACACAUGCAAGUCGAGGGGUAACAUUGUGCUUGCACAGAUGACGACCGGCGCACGGGUGCGUAACGCGUAUAGAACCUACCUUUUACAGGGGAAUAGCCUUUAGAAAUGAAGAUUAAUGCCUCAUAGUAUUGAGUAUUCGCAUGAAUAUUUAAUUAAAGAUUUAUCGGUAAAAGAUGGCUAUGCGUCCUAUUAGUUAGUUGGUAAGGUAACGGCUUACCAAGACAGCGAUAGGUAGGGGUCCUGAGAGGGAGAUCCCCCACACUGGUACUGAGACACGGACCAGACUCCUACGGGAGGCAGCAGUGAGGAAUAUUGGACAAUGGAGGAGACUCUGAUCCAGCCAUGCCGCGUGCAGGAAGAAUGCCCUAUGGGUUGUAAACUACUUUUAUACAGGAAGAAACACUGGUAUGUAUACCAGCUUGACGGUACUGUAAGAAUAAGGACCGGCUAACUCCGUGCCAGCAGCCGCGGUAAUACGGAGGGUCCGAGCGUUAUCCGGAAUCAUUGGGUUUAAAGGGUCCGCAGGCGGUCGAUUAAGUCAGAGGUGAAAUCCCAUAGCUCAACUAUGGAACUGCCUUUGAUACUGGUUGACUUGAGUCAUAUGGAAGUAGAUAGAAUGUGUAGUGUAGCGGUGAAAUGCAUAGAUAUUACACAGAAUACCGAUUGCGAAGGCAGUCUACUACGUAUGUACUGACGCUGAGGGACGAAAGCGUGGGGAGCGAACAGGAUUAGAUACC
Molecule: ribosomal RNA, 781 nt
Filed under: uncultured bacterium
Lineage: Bacteria
Description: bacterial SSU rRNA
Rfam family: Bacterial small subunit ribosomal RNA
Source: RNAcentral